GACAGAGGUGCCAAGCGUUAGGCGGAAUCACUGGGCUUAAAGCGUGUGUAGGCGGAUCGUUAAGUACCUUGUGAAAUCCCACGGCUCAACCGUGGAACUGCUCGGUAUACUGGCGGUCUUGAGCCACCUAGGGGCAACUGGAACAAGCGGUGGAGCGGUGAAAUUCGUAGAUAUCGAGAAGAACACCGGUGGCGAAGGCGGCCAUCUGGACAGAUACUGACGCUGAGACGCGAAAGCGUGGGGAGCAAACAGG
This 253-nucleotide ribosomal RNA is filed under the name uncultured bacterium. RNAcentral's name for it is "partial 16S ribosomal RNA". It matches the Rfam family "Bacterial small subunit ribosomal RNA", at positions 524 to 776 of the family's 1533-position model. The record is from RNAcentral.